GUGGGGAAUAUUGCACAAUGGGGGAAACCCUGAUGCAGCGACGCCGCGUGAGUGAAGAAGUAUUUCGGUACGUAAAGCUCUAUCAGCAAGGAAGAAAAUGACGGUACUUGACUAAGAAGCCCCGGCUAACUACGUGCCAGCAGCCGCGGUAAUACGUAGGGGGCAAGCGUUAUCCGGAUUUACUGGGUGUAAAGGGAGCGUAGACGGUAUGGUAAGUCAGAUGUGAAAGCCCGGGGCUCAACCCCGGGACUGCAUUUGAAACUAUCAGACUAGAAUGCAGGAGAGGUAAGUGGAAUUCCUAGUGUAGCGGUGAAAUGCGUAGAUAUUAGGAGGAACACCAGUGGCGAAGGCGGCUUACUGGACUGUAACUGACGUUGAGGCUCGAAAGCGUGGGGAGCAAACAGGAUUAGAAACCCCUGUAGUCC
RNAcentral lists this ribosomal RNA (425 nucleotides) under uncultured bacterium. Its description in RNAcentral is "partial 16S ribosomal RNA". It matches the Rfam family "Bacterial small subunit ribosomal RNA", at positions 354 to 796 of the family's 1533-position model. The record is from RNAcentral.